GAUGAACGCUGGCGGCGUGCCUAAUACAUGCAAGUCGAGCGAACAGACGAGGAGCUUGCUCCUCUGACGUUAUCGGCGGACGGGUGAGUAACACGUGGAUAACCUACCUAUAAGACUGGGAUAACUUCGGGAAACCGGAGCUAAUACCGGAUAAUAUAUUGAACCGCAUGGUUCAAUAGUUAAAGACGGUUUUGCUGUCACUUAUAGAUGGAUCCGCGCCGCAUUAGCUAGUUGGUAAGGUAACGGCUUACCAAGGCAACGAUGCGUAGCCGACCUGAGAGGGUGAUCGGCCACACGGGAACUGAGACACGGUCCAGACUCCUACGGGAGGCAGCAGUAGGGAAUCUUCCGCAAUGGGCGAAAGCUUGACGGAGCAACGCCGCGUGAGUGAUGAAGGUCUUCGGAUCGUAAAACUCUGUUAUUAGGGAAGAACAAAUGUGUAAGUAACUAUGCACGUCUUGACGGUACCUAAUCAGAAAGCCACGGCUAACUACGUG
This 497-nucleotide ribosomal RNA is filed under the name uncultured bacterium. RNAcentral's name for it is "partial 16S ribosomal RNA". It matches the Rfam family "Bacterial small subunit ribosomal RNA", at positions 28 to 507 of the family's 1533-position model. The record is from RNAcentral.